CCUACGGGAGGCUGCAGUGGGGAAUAUUGGGCAAUGGGCGCAAGCCUGACCCAGCAACGCCGCGUGAAGGAAGAAGGCUUUCGGGUUGUAAACUUCUUUUGUCAGGGACGAAGCAAGUGACGGUACCUGACGAAUCAGCCACGGCUAACUACGUGCCAGCAGCCGCGGUAAUACGGAGGUGGCAAGCGUUAUCAGGAUUUACUGGGAUUAAGGGGCGUGUAGGCGGGACGGCAAGUCAGAGGUGAAAACCACGGGCUCAACCGUUGGCCGGCAGUUGAAACUGUAGUUCUUGAGUACUGGAGAGGCAGACGGAAUGCCUGGUGUAGCGGUGAAAUGCGUAGAUAUUAGGAGGAACACCAGUGGCGAAGGCAGUCUGCUGGACAGCAACUGACGCUGAGGCGCGAAAGCGUGGGGAGCAAACAGGAUUAGAUACCCCUGUAGUC
RNAcentral lists this ribosomal RNA (443 nucleotides) under uncultured bacterium. Its description in RNAcentral is "partial 16S ribosomal RNA". It matches the Rfam family "Bacterial small subunit ribosomal RNA", at positions 338 to 795 of the family's 1533-position model. The record is from RNAcentral.